GGGGUUGUGGCUCAGUCGUAGAGCGCUUGCCUAGUACGCAUGAGGCAUGCGGUUCGAUCCCC
This 62-nucleotide transfer RNA is filed under the name Ictidomys tridecemlineatus (thirteen-lined ground squirrel). RNAcentral describes it as "Spermophilus tridecemlineatus (thirteen-lined ground squirrel) tRNA". It matches the Rfam family "tRNA", at positions 1 to 61 of the family's 71-position model. From Rfam's summary of the family: Transfer RNA (tRNA) molecules are approximately 80 nucleotides in length. Their secondary structure includes four short double-helical elements and three loops (D, anti-codon, and T loops). Further hydrogen bonds mediate the characteristic L-shaped molecular structure. tRNAs have two regions of fundamental functional importance: the anti-codon, which is responsible for specific mRNA codon recognition, and the 3' end, to which the tRNAs corresponding amino acid is attached (by aminoacyl-tRNA synthetases). tRNAs cope with the degeneracy of the genetic code in two manners: having more than one tRNA (with a specific anti-codon) for a particular amino acid; and 'wobble' base-pairing, i.e. permitting non-standard base-pairing at the 3rd anti-codon position. Lineage: Eukaryota; Metazoa; Chordata; Mammalia; Rodentia; Sciuridae. The record is from Rfam by way of RNAcentral.